CCUACGGGUGGCAGCAGUGAGGAAUAUUGGUCAAUGGACGUAAGCCUGAACCAGCCAUGCCGCGUGCAGGAAGACGGCUCUAUGAGUUGUAAACUGCUUUUGUACAAGGGUAAACCUGAAUACGUGUAUUCAGCUGAAAGUACUGUACGAAUAAGGAUCGGCUAACUCCGUGCCAGCAGCCGCGGUAAUACGGAGGAUCCAAGCGUUAUCCGGAUUUAUUGGGUUUAAAGGGUGCGUAGGCGGAUUGAUAAGUUAGUGGUGAAAUGUCCGAGCUUAACUCGGGAACUGCCUUUAAUACUGUUGAUCUAGAGAGUAGAUGCGGUAGGCGGAAUGUAUGGUGUAGCGGUGAAAUGCUUAGAGAUCAUACAGAACACCGAUUGCGAAGGCAGCUUACCAAUCUAUAUCUGACGUUGAGGCACGAAAGCGUGGGGAGCAAACAGGAUUAGAUACCCGGGUAGUC
RNAcentral lists this ribosomal RNA (460 nucleotides) under uncultured bacterium. Its description in RNAcentral is "partial 16S ribosomal RNA". It matches the Rfam family "Bacterial small subunit ribosomal RNA", at positions 338 to 795 of the family's 1533-position model. The record is from RNAcentral.